UGGCAUCCCUUUUCAUUGGCUCGGGCUUUCACGGGCAGAUGCAGUAUCUUCCUCGACCUCGAUCGGCUCUUCAACAGUUUGUUCGCGGCAGCAGAUCUGAACUUGACUGUUUAACACGAUACCCAAGAGCUAACUGGGGUCUACAAACGUCACAUUCAGGAUCCAUCUGCCUCUGUGGAGAAAAGGAGAGAAGUGGUCCUGAGAUGCCUGAUUGAGUACAUGGGGGAGAGACAGGAAGACCUCAUCAGUGUCUACCAUAAUCGUUCUGAAACAGAGGUGCACGCUGAGCUUUGCAGUUGCCCACUGAACAUUUACAUGUGCCAUCAUCCCGACACAACUGGUAUUAUCAUCGAAGGACAGCCCGUGGUCAGAGGUUUGCCAAACCUGUCAAAAGCAUGCUGCCUCCUGUUUGGACUUGCCUAUGCUCUCGACCUCAAGUAUCCAUCAAAACUGGUGUAUGGUUUUGAGAUAUAUCAGAGGCUUUUUGUUGGAUUGGACCCCAUGCGUCCUAAGCCAUCAUCCAAGUACGCAAAUCUCCUCAACAAGUUGUCUUAGAUGAUUUCUCAAUGGAAUCUGGCUGACUUUUUUUUCGCUGACUUUUUGGGACUUUGGCUUAUUCACCGUAUCCCCCAGAGUUAGAUAAGUCCAUUCAUACCCUUCUCAUCUCCAUGCGUGCCGUAACUCUGUCUGACGCACCCACCGCUAGCCUAGCUUAGCACAAAGAUCGGAGGUAAACCACUCCAGCUGGCAUACUGAUCUUGCCAACACAUACCAACAUUGGCGUUAUUUUGUCACUUAUUGAGAUCAGUAUGCUAGCUGGAGCGGUUUACCUCCGAUCUUUGUGCUAAGCUAGGCUAGCAGUGGAUGUGUCAGACAGCGUUACGGCACGCAUGGAGAUGAGAAGGGUAUGAAUGGACUUAUCUAACUCUGGGGGAUACGGUGAAUAAGCUAAAGUCCCAAAAAGUUGCCGUGUUCCUUUAAGACUCCUUGAAGAAGUUGCUGAUGGUAAUAUGUGUUCAUUGUCUUAAUUAAUGUGGACUUUGGACUGUGUUCUGUGCCAAUCAUUACCUCACGAGGUAUAAAUGUCUUUAAAUAAAUGUUAUUGUCUUCAA
Molecule: non-coding RNA, 1112 nt
Organism: Misgurnus anguillicaudatus (oriental weatherfish)
Lineage: Eukaryota; Metazoa; Chordata; Actinopteri; Cypriniformes; Cobitidae
Source: RefSeq, a predicted model, not a curated record